UACACACCGCCCGUCACACCACGAGAGUUUGUAACACCCUAAGUCGGUGGGGUAACCUUUUGGAGCCAGCCGCCUAAGGUGGGAUAGAUGAUUGGGGUGAAGUCGUAACAAGGUAGCCGUAUCGGAAGGUGCGGCUGGAUCACCUCCUUUCUAAGGAA
RNAcentral lists this ribosomal RNA (158 nucleotides) under Niallia circulans. Its description in RNAcentral is "Bacillus circulans partial 16S ribosomal RNA". It matches the Rfam family "Bacterial small subunit ribosomal RNA", at positions 1384 to 1533 of the family's 1533-position model. The record is from RNAcentral. Lineage: Bacteria; Bacillati; Bacillota; Bacilli; Caryophanales; Bacillaceae.